AUCCUGGCUCAGAUUGAACGCUGGCGGCAUGCCUUACACAUGCAAGUCGAACGGUAACAGGUCUUUCGGGAUGCUGACGAGUGGCGAACGGGUGAGUAAUACAUCGGAACGUGCCUAGUAGUGGGGGAUAACUACUCGAAAGAGUGGCUAAUACCGCAUGAGAUCUAUGGAUGAAAGCAGGGGACCUUCGGGCCUUGUGCUACUAGAGCGGCCGAUGGCAGAUUAGGUAGUUGGUGGGAUAAAAGCUUACCAAGCCUACGAUCUGUAGCUGGUCUGAGAGGACGAUCAGCCACACUGGGACUGAGACACGGCCCAGACUCCUACGGGAGGCAGCAGUGGGGAAUUUUGGACAAUGGGGGAAACCCUGAUCCAGCAAUGCCGCGUGCAGGAUGAAGGCCUUCGGGUUGUAAACUGCUUUUGUACGGAACGAAAAGUCUUGGGUUAA
This 445-nucleotide ribosomal RNA is filed under the name Comamonas sp. R-28211. RNAcentral's name for it is "bacterial SSU rRNA". It matches the Rfam family "Bacterial small subunit ribosomal RNA", at positions 16 to 463 of the family's 1533-position model. Lineage: Bacteria; Pseudomonadati; Pseudomonadota; Betaproteobacteria; Burkholderiales; Comamonadaceae. The record is from RNAcentral.